CACGUAGGGGGCGAGCGUUGUCCGGAUUUAUUGGGCGUAAAGAGCUCGUAGGCGGCUCAGUAAGUCGGGUGUGAAAACUCCAGGCUCAACCUGGAGACGCCACCUGAUACUGCUGUGGCUAGAGUCCGGUAGGGGAGCAUGGAAUUCCUGGUGUAGCGGUGAAAUGCGCAGAUAUCAGGAGGAACACCAAUUGCGAAGGCAGCUCGCUGGGACGUUACUGACGCUGAGACGCGAAAGCUAGGGGAGCAAACAGG
Molecule: ribosomal RNA, 254 nt
Filed under: uncultured bacterium
Lineage: Bacteria
Description: partial 16S ribosomal RNA
Rfam family: Bacterial small subunit ribosomal RNA
Source: RNAcentral